RNAcentral lists this long non-coding RNA (4729 nucleotides) under Gouania willdenowi (blunt-snouted clingfish). Its description in RNAcentral is "lncRNA (ENSGWIG00000007176.1)". Lineage: Eukaryota; Metazoa; Chordata; Actinopteri; Blenniiformes; Gobiesocidae. The record is from RNAcentral.
GUGUGAAGCUGCGGACCCGUGUUUUCGACUUGGAGCAACAAAACCGUAUUUUGAGCAUGCUGUUUCAACAGCGAGUCAAAAUGUCCACUGCUCCUGUCUCCCAGGAGUUCCAAAGAAAUGGAAAAGCUGGAAUUCCAGCAGGAAGGUGGCCAAGCCUACUUAGUCUAACAUGCCCACGAAGCAGUGUGAGUGGCAGUGGGAGUGAGCAGUCACUGUCCAGUGCAUGUAGCGAGUACUCCAGUGGUUCCCACACAUGGGCAGAAGGACGUGGUUUCACCAAACAGUGUGCCAUAAACAGAGACAAAAGGAUAAGUGCAGGCUCAGUUUCCAGCUACCAUUCCACGACCAGUGAACAAGCAGACUUGGGAUGGAAGGAAGGCCACAUAUUGAAAGGCUUGAAACGUCUUCAAAUGUCCAACUUGAAAGAGGCUUCAUCCCUUGCAUCUGUUCCACACUGCAAAGAUUGUAUGACUUCAAAUGAAGGCAUUUAUUCUCUUGGUGUCAAGUGUGGCCAGCAAAGUACUGCAACAAAAAAACCUGCACCUACAACCAAACUCGUCAUCCCUGAACUGCAAAUUCCCACCCUGGACUCUGAUGGUGCAGAAGAGGAACCAAAUAAACUGGGAAAUGGAGAAUCUAACAGCCACACAGAAAAUGUACUUCUCUGCUUAGAAAAUCUGGAUGCCAGCAGGGAUAUUGUUCAAAAUAUUCAAGAUGAUCCUGUGAAACUGUUUCACUCCCCCGUCACUGACAAUUACCAAUUUUUGGAAAGCCCUUUGUUAAAACCUGGCAUAAGUCCAACUGAUAGCCUCACACAGUUGGGGGACAAAAACAAAAGUUCAUUAGAAAAAGGCAAAAGUAUUAAAUUUAGUGACAAAAAUAAUAAUCAAGAAAGAUCUACUGAACGCAAAUCCCGACUUGAUCAGAUCAAAAGACAACAAGGGAGACUUCCUAUUAAGCUGAUUGAAAGUGGAACAAAUAUUGUUAGCCUCUCUGUUCAGCAUACUGGCACACAAGCUUUGAGCUGCAUGAAUGAAGCCAGACAGCGCAGCUCAUCACUGGAUGUCCCUUACUACCGAAAUCAGGGAAGUCAACCUGGUAGUGAAAAUCAGGACCUCAGCGAUUCAGAGUCUUCACAAAGGAAACCCAAACCUCAGCUUUGUGACUCAGCAAGAAAAGCGUUCAUUCUCCGAAGCAAAAGUGCAGAUGCAGGACAAGACCAACUCAAGCAUACACAUUCCCCUCUUCACCAGAAACUUAUCAAAGACCCUAAAUCUAAAGGACAGUUAAUCCAGAACCCUACUGCGCACAGUGUUCCCAACAAGCGAACAAAUCUAAGUAAAACUCAAGCUUCAAGCAAAGGCUUGUUGUGUGAAAUUGAGAAAGAUGGCUCUUUGCCAGUAUCAACAAGCUCCAAGUCCCUUGAGUGUGUACGAUCCCCUCUUGCCUCUCCUGUGAAACACUCAAAGACGUGCAGGACCCCUGUGGUUUGUGACAGCUCAAAAAGUCCAACAAAAUCAUCUUGGCCAAACACCAAAUUCCCUUUAAAUAAUGACUCCAUCGAGGAAAACAUCUAUGACAACCAGCCCUGUUCUCCAAGAAAACAACGGCGUCAAGACAAGCACUGGGAUGCAUCCCUUCCUGAAUAUUGGCCACAAUCCCCACCUCUACCUCCUGGUCGAAGUACCUCUCUACUUGAGCCUAUUAACAACUCAACAAAUGAUCAAACAUCUUCAGGUCAGCUACAAAGCUCUACUACUGGGAAGAUAAUCAACAUACAAGACAAUCAACACAUGGGUACAGAUGGUGAGCUACUGAAAAACCUUCCUGCUCAAAACUAUCAUGGCCACUUAUCCAAAAUAAUACAAGGUCAAGAAUCACUAGGCACAGAAUCAAUUCAGUUACUUACAGAUCAAACCGCUACAUCCUUUAAUGAAAAUUGUGCUUUCUCUCUUUUGCCAAGUCAGAGCAUUUUGCAAAGAUCCCAGCAGAGUAUUAGCGAGCCAAAGCUUUCUGAAGUAAUACCUCCAGUUUACUCUAAUAUUUACUACCAUGGGAUUGCCAAGAAUCCUCAGAUUUCUGUCUCGAGAGCUAUUAAAAGAAGUCUUCCAGUAAAUGCUAAGUCUCACGAGGCUAUUGCAGGACAGGAAACAAAUACCUUUCUUAUCUUUGGAAGACAAAACCAAGAGGAUUCAAAUAUGUCCGCACAGAGAGCCCAGAGCUUUCAGACUUUUACAUGUGAUCCCCAGAUGAUUCAUGACUGUGGAGCACAUGAGAAAGCCCACAAGAAGAUUGAGCUACGAUGUAACUCAUUAGAUUCAGAGCCCACUGUUCAACCAGUCGCAUCAGACAGUGGUGUAAUGUUAGACUGGGGAUUUGAUGAAGAAGGUUGGCUUUUCAAGCGCUCUGUGUCUGUAUCUACAAGGCCUCCACUGAAACCAGUUAUGGGAAUGAAUGGAGCAAAGGCUAGAAGUCAGAGCUUUGGUGCACGCUACAUGGACAGACCAAGCUUUAACAGAUCUGGAAAGGUUCGCACACAGAUCAAAACACACUCAGGGAGUUCCUUGAACUCUCUUGGUGAUGUUCUUCCAGGCAGUAUGAGUUGCUCCAGCAGCUACCAUUGUCCAAUGAAUCGAUCCCUGUUGAAUAACUUUUUAAUUGAAGAAGGACUAGCUGUUCCCUCACAUUUGGGGUCUUCCAGUGAGAGACUACAGAGUCUGAAACAACAGCGAGAGCAGGCUAGGCGUCUUCAGAUUGAACAGCAGUUCUCAAGUGCAUUUGGGGAGCCGGUCUCUGAAGAACCAGAAAGGCAAAGUACAAUAACUACAAUUGAAGAGAAAGUGAUGCUCGGUAUCGAGGAGAACUUACACAAAUCUAAAGAGCAGGAGCGAAGCCAAGAAGUUAAACAAAAACCUGGCUCAAGCUUGGCAAACUGGUUUGGCUUUCGUAAGAGUAAACUUCCUGCUCCAAGUAACAAAAAAGCUGACCCACCAAAAGCUAAAGAAGAAAAAAGGGAGCAAAAGAUUACAUCACUUCUUGGAGGAAAGCAGACAAAGGCAGAGAAAAAGAGAGACAGAAGGAAAAGCGAUGGCAAAGACAGCUCUGUGGGGAGAAGAGAGUCUCAUGAUGCAGUGCGAGCCUGCAUCUCAGUACCAUGCCCGGGAAUGUCAGUGAAUGAGAUACAAGGGUGUACAGACAUCAGUGGUGAUCCAAAGACGCAGACGAUGAACCGAAGAACUGAUGGUGAAAGUGGAACAACAGUGAAGAGCCCCACUCAAGACACAGUAAUAGGCUCCGGCUGCAAGAUGCGAACGUUGGACAGUGGAAUUGGGACCAUCUCCCUUCCCGAAUCCUGCUCCUUCUUCUCCUCCAUCCUGCACCUCCUCCCCAAAUCCACAUCCACCCCAGAACAGUCCCUCAGUCCUCCCAGUGUCCCCUGUUCCUCCGGAGAGGAUGUGUCCCCCUCCCCAUUACCUCGGUGGAGGAUCCCCUCCAGCGUUAAAGACAGAGGGAACACAGGGGUUCCUAACUCCCUGUCUGACUCCUCCAUGACUCGUGUCCAGUCAGUGCCUUUCCCCACGGUGGCCUUCCUGCAGCCCCUCCAACCCCUGUCUCAACCCCUUAUGACCUCUGCAAGUGUGUAUGAUACCCAGAGCAGGCUGCCCAGACCACCACAAGGUGGAAUGGAACCAAAGAAGAUGACCUAUGUCAAAUCGAAAUCACGAGCCACAGUGAGUCAACAGACGGAACAGACAAGGCUUCAGCUGGCCAACUAGCUCCAACGCCUGAGGCGGAGACUUAAAGAACCAACAGACUUAUCUUCCUGACACACAUGGGGAAUCUUGCCACCCACAGUUUGGACUCUGCUGGUGUUUCCUGAUUAUACUGAAACUGAACAAUGAUUGAGUCUGGCAUUGGAAGUUUCCACCAGUGUUCAAUGCAGCAUUAAGAUAGAAAAACACCCAAACUAUGUUGGCAGCUAUUUUGGAGGAUGUGUCUCACUGAAGUCAAUUACUAAUCAGGUUCCAAAAUGUAACAGUUCGUUUCAUCUUCAGACACACACAUCGCCUCAGAGCUCAUAUUUCUCUUCUAGCUGUGUAUGUUUCUGCUUUUGCGGCGACUAUUUUUCCAAACAUAUGUGACUGCUUUUCUGCUUCAUCAGUGGCCGGCUAGCGACUUUAACAGGGUACAAGUCAUUUUUAUUCUGAGCUUUGAGGAGCUACAGUUAAAGUGAGUAAAGUGUAGUUUAGGAGAUAUGUGUAGUGACAGAGCUACACGCAACUGCACCAGGACAGUUCAACCUUUGACAAAAUCCAAAUACAAUAGAACCAGUAGGCUACUCCUUUUACACAAGUCAUUCAUCAAUACAAAGAAAAAAUAGCUUAAUCACUUACAUUUUAUUCCAUUUUAUUUACUUUCAUUUACAAUGUUUUACAUUUACUUCAAGUCAAUCUGUUUUUACAGCAUUAUUGCUUGUGUACAUGCAAUGGCUGUACAGUAAUUUAACACAAGCCUCAUCGUACUGCAUGUUUCUGUGCUUGCAAAAGAUAACCAACAUAAAGAAAAUCACGAUAUAUCAUUAUGCCAUAAUCAGCAGGUAUAAAAAGCUGGAGGUUUAUGUUUAAAUGAGUUCUCUAUGCAUGUGAAUGCAGCUCGAGCAGAAUGUUUGCUUGUUUUCAAAAUGAAUGAAUCCAAUAAAUGAGCAUUUACUAGUGUUCUGUAGCUCGAU